Molecule: ribosomal RNA, 422 nt
Filed under: uncultured bacterium
Lineage: Bacteria
Description: bacterial SSU rRNA
Rfam family: Bacterial small subunit ribosomal RNA
Source: RNAcentral
GUACGCUGGCGGCACGCCUAACACAUGCAAGUCGAACGCAGUAGCAAUACUGAGUGGCAAACGGGUGAGUAUAAUGUGGGAAUCUGCCUUUUGGUUUGGAAUAACACGGGGAAACUUGUGCUAAUACCGGAUAAGCCUUUACAGGGAAAGUUUUAACGCCGAAAGAUGAGCCCGCACUUGAUUAGCUAGUUGGUAAGGUAAAAGCUUACCAAGGCAACGAUCAAUAGCUGUUCUUAGAGGAAGACCAGCCACAUUGGGACUGAGACACGGCCCAGACUCCUACGGGAGGCAGCAGUGGGGAAUCUUGCACAAUGGGGGAAACCCUGAUGCAGCGAUGCCGCGUGAGUGAAGAAGGCCCUUGGGUUGUAAAACUCUUUCGUCGGGGAAGAAAAUGACUGUACCCGAAUAAGAAGGUCCGGCUA